RNAcentral lists this ribosomal RNA (1121 nucleotides) under Scopulariopsis brevicaulis (arsenic fungus). RNAcentral describes it as "LSU rRNA". It matches the Rfam family "Eukaryotic large subunit ribosomal RNA", at positions 72 to 1219 of the family's 3401-position model. The record is from RNAcentral. Lineage: Eukaryota; Fungi; Ascomycota; Sordariomycetes; Microascales; Microascaceae.
GGAUUGCCUUAGUAACGGCGAGUGAAGCGGCAACAGCUCAAAUUUGAAAUCUGGUCCCCUUUGGGGGCCCGAGUUGUAAUUUGAAGAGGAUGCUUUUGGCGAGGCGCCGUCCGAGUUCCCUGGAACGGGACGCCGCAGAGGGUGAGAGCCCCGUACGGUCGGACGCCGAGCCUCUGUAAAGCUCCUUCGACGAGUCGAGUAGUUUGGGAAUGCUGCUCAAAAUGGGAGGUAAACCCCUUCUAAAGCUAAAUACUGGCCAGAGACCGAUAGCGCACAAGUAGAGUGAUCGAAAGAUGAAAAGCACUUUGAAAAGAGAGUUAAAAAGCACGUGAAAUUGUUAAAAGGGAAGCGCUUGCGACCAGACUUGCGCCCGUCGGAUCAACCGUCGCUUGCGGCGGCGCACUCCGGCGGGCUCAGGCCAGCAUCAGUUCGUCCGGGGGGAGAAAGGCGGCGGGAAUGUGGCUCUUCGGAGUGUUAUAGCCCGCCGUGUAAUACCCUCGGGUGGACUGAGGACCGCGCGUAUGCAAGGAUGCUGGCGUAAUGGUCGUCAGCGACCCGUCUUGAAACACGGACCAAGGAGUCGUCCUAAUAUGCGAGUGUACGGGUGUCAAACCCCUGCGCGUAAUGAAAGUGAACGGAGGUGAGAGCUUCGGCGCAUCAUCGACCGAUCCUGAUGUUCUCGGAUGGAUUUGAGUAAGAGCAUAUUGGGCCGGACCCGAAAGAAGGUGAACUAUGCCUGUGUAGGGUAAAGCCAGAGGAAACUCUGGUGGAGGCUCGCAGCGGUUCUGACGUGCAAAUCGAUCGUCAAACAUGGGCAUGGGGGCGAAAGACUAAUCGAACCUUCUAGUAGCUGGUUUCCGCCGAAGUUUCCCUCAGGAUAGCAGUGUUGAAUUUCUCAGUUUUAUGAGGUAAAGCGAAUGAUUAGGGACUCGGGGGCGCUUUUUAGCCUUCAUCCAUUCUCAAACUUUAAAUAUGUAAGAAGCCCUUGUUACUUCAUUGAACGUGGGCCUUCGAAUGUAUCAACACUAGUGGGCCAUUUUUGGUAAGCAGAACUGGCGAUGCGGGAUGAACCGAUCGCGGGGAUAAGGUGCCGGAGUGGACGCUCAUCAGACACCACAAAA